AUAGAAGAGAAGCCAAAGAUGAGCAGAAUUACAUGAACAAGUUGGGCCUAGAUGCUUUGUAUGUUGUCUUCAGCUUCCUGGUGGGUGGCCUAACCUUCUUAAACACCAACGGGAAUUUGAUCUUUGAGUCAUGGAACUGCUUCGUACUUUCCCUCUUGCAGAGUUUUGCAGGAACAGUUGCUGUCUUAAUGAUUUGGAUGCACGGGCACCUCACCCUAUGGCGAGAAGCCAUCUCGGUAUACAUUUGCUCAACAGCCCCGUUCAAUG
Molecule: unclassified non-coding RNA, 267 nt
Filed under: Hevea brasiliensis (rubber tree)
Lineage: Eukaryota; Viridiplantae; Streptophyta; Magnoliopsida; Malpighiales; Euphorbiaceae
Source: RNAcentral